CUAGCCCCUAGAGGCAUUGAGGGUAUAGUUUCUUUGUCACAAGUGUACGAGUAGGGGACAGAGAGGAGAUAGGGUGUGUAUAUACUCAGUCUUCUGUCUUACGAACAACUGAAUGAUUAUUAGACUAACAGU
Arvicanthis niloticus (Nile rat) is the source of this 132-nucleotide small nucleolar RNA. RefSeq annotates it as small nucleolar RNA SNORA17. The record is from RefSeq and is a predicted model, not a curated record. Lineage: Eukaryota; Metazoa; Chordata; Mammalia; Rodentia; Muridae.